GAUGAACGCUGGCGGCGUGCCUAAUACAUGCAAGUCGAGCGAACAGACGAGGAGCUUGCUCCUCUGACGUUAGCGGCGGACGGGUGAGUAACACGUGGAUAACCUACCUAUAAGACUGGGAUAACUUCGGGAAACCGGAGCUAAUACCGGAUAAUAUAUUGAACCGCAUGGUUCAAUAGUGAAAGACGGUUUUGCUGUCACUUAUAGAUGGAUCCGCGCCGCAUUAGCUAGUUGGUAAGGUAACGGCUUACCAAGGCAACGAUGCGUAGCCGACCUGAGAGGGUGAUCGGCCACACUGGAACUGAGACACGGUCCAGACUCCUACGGGAGGCAGCAGUAGGGAAUCUUCCGCAAUGGGCGAAAGCCUGACGGAGCAACGCCGCGUGAGUGAUGAAGGUCUUCGGAUCGUAAAACUCUGUUAUUAGGGAAGAACAAAUGUGUAAGUAACGAUGCACGUUUUGACGGUACCUAAUCAGAAAGCCACGGCUAACUACGU
Molecule: ribosomal RNA, 496 nt
Filed under: uncultured bacterium
Lineage: Bacteria
Description: partial 16S ribosomal RNA
Rfam family: Bacterial small subunit ribosomal RNA
Source: RNAcentral